GAUGAACGCUGGCGGCGUGCCUAAUACAUGCAAGUCGAGCGAACGGACGAGAAGCUUGCUUUUCUGAUGUUAGCGGCGGACGGGUGAGUAACACGUGGAUAACCUACCUAUAAGACUGGGAUAACUUCGGGAAACCGGAGCUAAUACCGGAUCAUAUUUUGAACCGCAUGGUUCAAAAGUGAAAGACGGUCUUGCUGUCACUUAUAGAUGGAUCCGCGCUGCAUUAGCUAGUUGGUAAGGUAACGGCUUACCAAGGCAACGAUGCAUAGCCGACCUGAGAGGGUGAUCGGCCACACUGGAACUGAGACACGGUCCAGACUCCUACGGGAGGCAGCAGUAGGGAAUCUUCCGCAAUGGGCGAAAGCCUGACGGAGCAACGCCGCGUGAGUGAUGAAGGUCUUCGGAUCGUAAAACUCUUUUAUUAGGGAAGAACAUAUGUGUAAGUAACUGUGCACAUCUUGACGGUACCUAAUCAGAAAGCCACGGCUAACUACGUG
Molecule: ribosomal RNA, 497 nt
Filed under: uncultured bacterium
Lineage: Bacteria
Description: partial 16S ribosomal RNA
Rfam family: Bacterial small subunit ribosomal RNA
Source: RNAcentral